This 305-nucleotide ribosomal RNA is filed under the name uncultured bacterium. RNAcentral describes it as "bacterial SSU rRNA". It matches the Rfam family "Bacterial small subunit ribosomal RNA", at positions 335 to 655 of the family's 1533-position model. The record is from RNAcentral.
UCCCCUACGGGAGGCAGCAGUGGGGAAUCUUGCACAAUGGGCGAAAGCCUGAUGCAGCAACGCCGCGUGAGCGAAGAAGGCCUUUGGGUCGUAAAGCUCUGUCCUAAGGGAAGAAGGAAGUGACGGUACCUUAGGAGGAAGCCCCGGCUAACUACGUGCCAGCAGCCGCGGUAAUACGUAGGGGGCAAGCGUUAUCCGGAAUUAUUGGGCGUAAAGAGUACGUAGGCGGGUCUUUAAGCGCAGGGUUUAAGGCGAUAGCUUAACUAUCGGUCGCCCUGUGAAAUGGGGGGCUUGAGGAUCGGAGG